CUCUGUGCAUGUUCUCGUUUGUGGCUGUUUAAAUGGUAAUCAGGUGUCUGGAAUCGUGUUGUUUGUGUUCGCAGCUGAAGAAGGACGAGACGCAGAUAUACAGCGUGACUCUGGAGGAGGAUCAGCCUGUCAGGAACCUGAAACCGGCUGUGGUUAAAGUCUACGAUUACUACCAGACAAGCGAUGAGGCGGUCACCGACUACACGUCCGCCUGUGCAGAAAGCGACGGCGUCAACGAGCUGUAACGUCCAAACCCUGUGACGCUGCGACGGGAAGUGUUUCAGACGGAAGAAUCACUGUGUCAAAGAAAGAAACUUCUAGGUGUUUAUUUUGUUUCUUAGACCGUUUCUUUAACUUUUUUACUUUCUUUUUAGACGUGUUUCAUUGAGAGCGAAUCCCACUUGGUGUUAAUUCUAGGUGCAAAUUUGAUCUUUUAUUUUUAGCUUUUGAUUGUUUUGUUUUUUUUUUGUUCUACUUCUGUUCGGUGGUAGGGGUUCUGUUGUCCUGCAGAUUACGACGAAACCAAUAAUCAGUCAGAAUCCAUACGGUAGUUAGAGCUGCGUCUCACUGUAACACUGGAACCUGCACAUUAUAACCCUCUGAAUCCAAGUACAGCAGCCAAAAGCUCUGUGAUAGAUGUUUUUAAUAGAUUUGACAAAAUCCAUAUUAUUCAUACAUGAAAGUGACGCAUGAGACAUACAGGGUACCAAUAACAGUAUGGUCCGAGUACUGAGUGUGUGAGUGUGUGUGUGUGUGUGUGACAGGAUCUACUCUCUAGAAAAAAGCAAAAGUACAGUCUCAUGAGUGCUAGGUGAGUUAUUCUUGGUGUGUGUGUGUGUGUGUGUGUUGUGUGUGUGUGUGUGUGUUCUGCUGUACCAGUAAAAAGAAUAAAACAAAUUAAAACAAGGUAGCUCGAUACAUCACUACCAUACAGUUUGAAAUGUAACUGACUGACAAUAAAAUUUCUAAAAUGACAAAAA
Molecule: long non-coding RNA, 980 nt
Organism: Stegastes partitus (bicolor damselfish)
Lineage: Eukaryota; Metazoa; Chordata; Actinopteri; Pomacentridae
Exons: 3
Source: RefSeq, a predicted model, not a curated record